Molecule: ribosomal RNA, 478 nt
Filed under: uncultured bacterium
Lineage: Bacteria
Description: partial 16S ribosomal RNA
Rfam family: Bacterial small subunit ribosomal RNA
Source: RNAcentral
GACGAACGCUGGCGGCGUGCUUAACACAUGCAAGUCGAACGGUAAGACCCUUCGGGGUACACGAGUGGCGAACGGGUGAGUAACACGUGGGUGAUCUGCCCUGCACUUCGGGAUAAGCCUGGGAAACUGGGUCUAAUACCGGAUAGGACCACUGCCUGCAUGGGUGGUGGUGGAAAGCUUUUGCGGUGUGGGAUGGGCCCGCGGCCUAUCAGCUUGUUGGUGGGGUGAUGGCCUACCAAGGCGACGACGGGUAGCCGGCCUGAGAGGGUGACCGGCCACACUGGGACUGAGAUACGGCCCAGACUCCUACGGGAGGCAGCAGUGGGGAAUAUUGCACAAUGGGCGCAAGCCUGAUGCAGCGACGCCGCGUGAGGGAUGACGGCCUUCGGGUUGUAAACCUCUUCCAGCACCGACGAAGCGCAAGUGACGGUAGGUGCAGAAGAAGGACCGGCCAACUACGUGCCAGCCGCCGCAGUAA